Non-coding RNA from Cinara cedri, 234 nucleotides. The record is from the annotation of a GenBank genome assembly. Lineage: Eukaryota; Metazoa; Arthropoda; Insecta; Hemiptera; Aphididae.
CUGUAAACUAUUAAAUUGGUAAAUAUUUUAUUAUCGUGGUUAAAUAGUUAGGUACCUAGUUUAGAUGGGAGGUCUUCAGAAUUUUGAAAGAGCUGAGGUUUGAAUGUAUAGGCAUGUCAAGAUCUUUCUUCCGGGUCAUACAAACAAUUGUGAAACUAAGUAAACCAAAAAAGAGAAAGGAGAUAAGACCUAUAAUUUUCAAAAAGCGUUGUCACUAUUAAUACCUGAUGAAAA